UCACUACAGACGGAAUGCACUGAGCUGCACCAUCCAUGGUGCAGAAAGAAUUUCUCCUCAAUUCAUAUAGCACUCGAUUUAUUUAAGGCCCAUUUCUUCGUCAAUGGCAUAUGCUCUCGUGUUGUAUUUUAUACUGCUUUCAUUUAUUUAAUAAAAGUGACUAGACUUUGUCUGAUUAUUUUUAAAAAAUUAUAAUAGAUAGAAGAUUAGCAAGCUGCUGUAUAUCCAAAACCUUUAUGGCAUCACAAAAUCUCUCUCCGGACUUCAAUCAUCAGUUGAAACUAAAAGCUAAAUUUACAAAUGAACAAAGCAUUAUUAGUUAGGACACCCCUUUGCUUAACAAGUGGAAAUCAAUUUAUUUAUCUAGAUGCAACUAAGAUUUUCUUCAAUCGAGAUCACCACUUUCUAGAGUAGUAUACAUUGUUGCAGCCUAUUUUUGGUGGGAUAGUCGGCUGGGAGCCAAGUCACUGCGUCUG
This 476-nucleotide long non-coding RNA is filed under the name Elaeis guineensis (African oil palm). RNAcentral's name for it is "long non-coding RNA (EGUI_LNC001440)". Lineage: Eukaryota; Viridiplantae; Streptophyta; Magnoliopsida; Arecales; Arecaceae. The record is from RNAcentral.